RNAcentral lists this transfer RNA (74 nucleotides) under Thermoplasmatales archaeon SG8-52-2. Its description in RNAcentral is "tRNA-Val". It matches the Rfam family "tRNA". From Rfam's summary of the family: Transfer RNA (tRNA) molecules are approximately 80 nucleotides in length. Their secondary structure includes four short double-helical elements and three loops (D, anti-codon, and T loops). Further hydrogen bonds mediate the characteristic L-shaped molecular structure. tRNAs have two regions of fundamental functional importance: the anti-codon, which is responsible for specific mRNA codon recognition, and the 3' end, to which the tRNAs corresponding amino acid is attached (by aminoacyl-tRNA synthetases). tRNAs cope with the degeneracy of the genetic code in two manners: having more than one tRNA (with a specific anti-codon) for a particular amino acid; and 'wobble' base-pairing, i.e. permitting non-standard base-pairing at the 3rd anti-codon position. Lineage: Archaea; Methanobacteriati; Thermoplasmatota; Thermoplasmata; Thermoplasmatales. The record is from RNAcentral.
GGGCUCGUGGUCUAGUUGGUUAUGACGUCGCCUUGACAUGGCGGAGGUCGAGUGUUCAAAUCUCUCCGAGCCCA